RNAcentral lists this ribosomal RNA (428 nucleotides) under uncultured bacterium. Its description in RNAcentral is "bacterial SSU rRNA". It matches the Rfam family "Bacterial small subunit ribosomal RNA", at positions 355 to 774 of the family's 1533-position model. The record is from RNAcentral.
UGGGGAAUUUUGCGCAAUGGGGGAAACCCUGACGCAGCAACGCCGCGUGGGUGAUGAAGGCCUUCGGGUCGUAAAGCUCUGUCUGGAGGGAAGAAAUGAUUGGGAGCUAAUACCUCUUGAUCUUGACGGUACCUCUGAAGGAAGCACCGGCUAACUCCGUGCCAGCAGCCGCGGUAAUACGGAGGGUGCAAGCGUUGUUCGGAAUUAUUGGGCGUAAAGCGCGUGUAGGCGGUCUUUUAAGUCUGAGGUGAAAGCCCCGGGCUCAACCUGGGAAGUGCAUUGGAAACUGGGAGGCUUGAGUACGGGAGAGGAGAGUGGAAUUCCUAUUGUAGGAGUGAAAUCCGUAGAUAUUAGGAGGAACACCGGUGGCGAAGGCGGCUCUCUGGACCGAUACUGACGCUGAGACGCGAAAGCGUGGGUAGCAAACA